CUACGGGCCGCACCAGUGAGGAAUAUUGCACAAUGGGGGGAACCCUGAUGCAGCAACGCCGCGUGGAGGAUGACGCAUUUCGGUGUGUAAACUCCUUUUAUAUGUCAAGAAAAUGACGGUAGCAUAUGAAUAAGCGCCGGCUAACUCCGUGCCAGCAGCCGCGGUAAUACGGAGGGCGCAAGCGUUACUCGGAAUCACUGGGCGUAAAGGACGCGUAGGCGGGUUGAAAAGUCAGGUGUGAAAGCCUACAGCUUAACUGUAGAACUGCACCUGAAACUCUCAAUCUAGAGUAUGGGAGGGGCAGAUGGAAUUAGUGGUGUAGGGGUAAAAUCCGUAGAUAUCACUAGGAAUACCUAAAGCGAAGGCGAUCUGCUGGAACAUUACUGACGCUAAGGCGUGAAAGCGUGGGGAGCAAACAGGAUUAGAUACCCGCGUAGUC
RNAcentral lists this ribosomal RNA (439 nucleotides) under uncultured bacterium. RNAcentral describes it as "partial 16S ribosomal RNA". It matches the Rfam family "Bacterial small subunit ribosomal RNA", at positions 339 to 795 of the family's 1533-position model. The record is from RNAcentral.